AUGUGAGACAUAAGAUAUUUCCUACUCCCUCCCACCGUAUUUCACCCCAAUCACACACACACACACACACACCCGCAUGCACACACAGACACACACAUACACAUGUUUGUAUUGCUAUACUUGUGAGGACUUCCCAUUGACUUACAUUCAUUCCGUAACCUCUAACCCUAACCCUAACCCCAACCAAUACAUGCCUAACCCUAAGUCCUAACCCUAAAACAGCCUCUUGAACUUGUGGGGACCAGCAAAAGGUCCCCACCUUGCGUAAUUUUCCUCAUCCUUCUAUCCUUGUGGGGACAUUUGGUUCUCACAAAGAUAUUAAUACAUGCCGAUACACACUCACACACACACAUUUCACCCCAAUCUAACACACACAAAUACACACAUACAUACAAACACUCUUUCUCCUUAUUAUCCAUUAUCCCUACCUCACCUGUAAAGUGAUAUGCCGAACUGUUGGUGAUCAAGUAUAGGGCCCUUCAAUUGUCCAAGUUCGUCUUCACAGACACCACAGCCCUAGUGUCUCAUGAGCACUCUCCAUAAAAAUGCCGAAAUCAGCACCAGAGAGGACCAGAAACCAAGCAUGAUCCUAGAUUACAAUGCCACCGAAGGGGGGGUGGAACAACUUGGACAAAGUAACGGGGUCCUACAGCACCAAGCGAAUGACUGUGCGCUGGCCUUUAGGCAUCUUUUAUAACAUAAUUGAUGUAUCGGCCUACAAUACGUUCAUCAUCUGGAUGGAGAUUUUUCCUGAGUGGAACGUGUCAAAGCUGUACAAGAGGCGCAUCUUCCACGAGAAGCUGGGGAAGGCACUCGUGGUACCGCAUAUACAACGGAGGCAGCACAAGGACCCCAGCCACUGCAGCCACAGUGAGGGAGAUCCAGGAGAGGGCUGCACCUAGUACACCAAUGCCUGAGGUUGCUGCUGGGGGAAGAAGGAAGUGGAAAAGGUGCCAGGUCUGCAUGACAUCAAGAUGAACAUGACAUGUGCGACGUGCAAAAUUCAUUUGCACAAAGCAUACCGUGACGACUUGUCCCUCAUGUGCUGUGUAGAUACACAGAUACGCACGCACACACAUGCCUCGUUCAUAUUGCUCAUCUCUUGUUCUUUUUUGUUCAUUUCUGGCUCUAAACAUUCUAAACAUUGCACAAAUAAAGAUUACUUUCAAAUAAAA
Anguilla rostrata (American eel) is the source of this 1175-nucleotide long non-coding RNA. RefSeq lists it as uncharacterized. The record is from RefSeq and is a predicted model, not a curated record. The transcript has 2 exons. NCBI's taxonomy places the organism in Eukaryota, Metazoa, Chordata, Actinopteri, Anguilliformes, Anguillidae.